GCUUGAACAAGUACCUGCUUGAUAAAUUAUCCUCUGACAUGUGUUGCAAAGCACAUACUGGCAUGUUCCUCAGAUUCUUGCCAGCUUUUUCACUGAAGGUGCAUUACUGCAUUCCUCAAGACAGUCAUGAAAAGUUAAAAUCAAUUCUGCUUGAAGUAUAGAGUGUAAAUGGGAAUUAUAGCCAGAAUCACGAAUCCUUAAACCAAAAGAAGCUGACUUGAAGCUGUAACAAUGUGGAUUCAUGCUUCGUAAGGAAGACUUGUAAAGUUAUCUUUUCUAGUGGAAUGCUGCUGGAAAGUGUAGUUUUGGUAUAAUACAGCUCAAUCACCUAAUGAGUCUUGGUUCUCCCACGUGAAAUGAGCGCUUUUCAGAGUGACUGUGCAUCAACUUGUGAACUUCUAGCAGAGUAUUCUGGUCCUGAACAUGAAAUGUUUGAAUUUGAAAGUCUUAACACAAAAUGUUCAAAAAUGUUCAAGAAGCUGUUUGAAACACUGCACCAAAAAGAAA
Long non-coding RNA from Serinus canaria (Common canary), 507 nucleotides. RefSeq lists it as uncharacterized. The transcript is spliced from 3 exons. The record is from RefSeq and is a predicted model, not a curated record. NCBI's taxonomy places the organism in Eukaryota, Metazoa, Chordata, Aves, Passeriformes, Fringillidae.